UACGGAGGGUGCUAGCGUUGUUCGGAAUUACUGGGCGUAAAGCGCGCGUAGGCGGCUUUGUAAGUUAGAUGUGAAAGCCCGGGGCUCAACCCCGGAAUAGCCUUUAAGACUGCAUCGCUAGAAUCCGGGAGAGGUGAGUGGAAUUCCGAGUGUAGAGGUGAAAUUCGUAGAUAUUCGGAAGAACACCAGUGGCGAAGGCGGCUCACUGGACCGGUAUUGACGCUGAGGUGCGAAAGCGUGGGGAGCAAACAGG
Molecule: ribosomal RNA, 253 nt
Filed under: uncultured bacterium
Lineage: Bacteria
Description: partial 16S ribosomal RNA
Rfam family: Bacterial small subunit ribosomal RNA
Source: RNAcentral